UCGGAUAUGGUGUAAUGGCUAACAUUGCUGCCUUUCAUGGAAGGAAUUCACUGUAACUGCCGCGGCAGCUCGGGGUUCGAUUCCCUGUAUCCGAA
This 95-nucleotide transfer RNA is filed under the name Armillaria solidipes. It matches the Rfam family "tRNA". From Rfam's summary of the family: Transfer RNA (tRNA) molecules are approximately 80 nucleotides in length. Their secondary structure includes four short double-helical elements and three loops (D, anti-codon, and T loops). The record is from Rfam by way of RNAcentral. Lineage: Eukaryota; Fungi; Basidiomycota; Agaricomycetes; Agaricales; Physalacriaceae.